Molecule: microRNA precursor, 86 nt
Organism: Tribolium castaneum (red flour beetle)
Lineage: Eukaryota; Metazoa; Arthropoda; Insecta; Coleoptera; Tenebrionidae
Rfam family: mir-3817 microRNA precursor family
Source: Rfam
UAACUGGGGCCAGUUUCGGGGUGUGGGAGUGGUAUUAUUUUUUUAAAGUAAUAUUGCUCACUACACCUCCAAAUUGGUCUUGGUAC